Molecule: long non-coding RNA, 265 nt
Filed under: Lathyrus oleraceus (garden pea)
Lineage: Eukaryota; Viridiplantae; Streptophyta; Magnoliopsida; Fabales; Fabaceae
Description: Pisum sativum (pea) long non-coding RNA (PSAT_LNC027465)
Source: RNAcentral
CGCAGGGCAUUAAAUGAAGCCCAGAAUAAAACAAAAAAUAGCAACCAAACCGUGCCUGCAUUUCAAAAUUGGUGGAAUUUUCGGUAAUCCCAGUAAGUGGGCCCACAACCAAUGGCAAUAGUGAACCAUAACCCCCAUGACCAAUUAAAAAAAAAAACCCUUCAGCAAACCCACAUGCAGCGAAAAUACACAGUCACAGCAGGGGAAAAAAUCAAUUAAUUAAAAUAUACCCUACCAAAUAAAUAGCAAAGUUAACAGUAUGAAA